UACGGGGGAUGCAAGCGUUAUCCGGAAUUAUUGGGCGUAAAGCGUCCGUAGGUGGUUUUAAAAGUCUGUUGUCAAAGCGCGAGGCUUAACCUCGUACAGGCAGUGGAAACUAUAAGACUAGAGUGCGGUAGGGGUAGAGGGAAUUUCCAGUGUAGCGGUGAAAUGCGUAGAUAUUGGAAAGAACACCGGUGGCGAAGGCGCUCUACUGGGCCUGCACUGACACUGAGGGACGAAAGCUAGGGGAGCGAAAGGG
RNAcentral lists this ribosomal RNA (253 nucleotides) under uncultured bacterium. RNAcentral describes it as "partial 16S ribosomal RNA". It matches the Rfam family "Bacterial small subunit ribosomal RNA", at positions 524 to 776 of the family's 1533-position model. The record is from RNAcentral.